UGUAAUAGUUUUGAUUCUAAGAAAACAAUUUCAGAGUGAUAAGAUAGCCAAUCAACCACCCAGCCGAAUUCGCGUAUAUUGUAAUAGUAGAUGACAUAUUCAGAAAUACUUGUUUCUAUUGUUAGAAUUUUCAGAAAUAUCCUUGUCUGUUAUGAAGAAUAUUUCGGAGAUAUAACUACUUGUAUCAUCGUGUGAUUCACAUAAGUUUUUUUGAUAUAUUAAUAAUAAUGGCAGAAAUUGAAUGGCCAUGGCAAUACAGUUUUCCUCCUUUUUUUACACUUCAGCCUCAUUCAGAUACUAGAGCUAAACAAUUAGCAGCAUGGAAAAGUUUAAUCCUAGAAUAUUAUCGUAUAACAAAACAAGCUAUUAUAGAUAUAAGAGAAGUGCAUUCAAGCCCGUUAUUUAAUAAUACUGCAAUUAAUCGCAAAUUAUCACCAGAGGCUAUCUUAUUGGUAUUGGAAGAAUUAGCAAGAUCAGGGAAUGCAAGCCCAUUAGAUAAGACAAGACAAAGGUGGCUAAUUUAUUGGCAUACUUUGGAAGAAUGGGGUGAAAUUAUUUAUAACUGGGCUCAAGAGAAUGGAUUUGUCGGUUCCGUAUGUACUUUAUUUGAGUUAACACAAGGAGAAGAUACAACAAAUCAGGAAUUUUAUGGACUUGAUACAGAAGUAUUAAUCAGAGCACUUAAAACACUGGAAGGAAAUAAGAAAGCAGAAUUAAUUUUAUUUGAUGAUAAUCAAGGUGUUAAAUUCUUUUAGACACAUAAUUGUACAAAAGAAUUGCUCUGUAAAUGUAAAUACAAAUCUUCGCUAUUUUCAAGGUUUGCACUUGCUUCAAGAUCUUUUUUACUUAAAUGUUCAAUAACAUAAGCUCCGAGUGCAUCGCAUAUGACGUUUAUCGUGGUUCGGAAACGAUCCCUAUAGGCGAAUUUAACAAUUAUUUAAAAUGUAAAAAAUUUUAAUUUGAUUAAUAAUUAUGCCAGAGCGGAUAACUCACAAGAGCCAAUCUACUGCAAUGAUAAGUGUUACAUCUUCAGCAGGCAAUCCUACAGUAUCUAACACCAUAACCAUUGUAACAAGACCAGCUUGUGGAAUGCCAGCAGCUCCAAUGCUGGCUGCAGUUGCUGUUAUACUACAAAAGUAUAUCAAACCAUCAAAGUUAUUAAGAUUUUAAGCUUAAGUUUCAAAGUUUAAUUCAUUUAAUUCGUUUAAUUCAACAAUUACCUAACACCAAUAACAUUGCCAAGGGUCAAUGGAAUUCUCCUGACUUGAGCUAUAAAAAUUGCAGCAACAGCUUCGUAUAAUGCAGUCCCAUCCAUAUUAAUGGUAGCACCAAUUGGAACAACAAAUCGUGUAAUUCUCUGGUCUACACCUAUAUUAUCCAAACACUGUAUUGUUACUGGCAAUGUGGCAGUGCUGUAUUCAUAGAAAUACAUUAUUUAUAAAUCCCAAA
RNA transcript from Bombus terrestris (buff-tailed bumblebee), 1449 nucleotides. It is a transcript of the gene named vacuolar protein-sorting-associated protein 25, with no coding region annotated. The record is from RefSeq and is a predicted model, not a curated record. NCBI's taxonomy places the organism in Eukaryota, Metazoa, Arthropoda, Insecta, Hymenoptera, Apidae. The transcript is spliced from 5 exons.